UACGGAGGGUGCAAGCGUUAAUCGGAAUUACUGGGCGUAAAGCGCACGCAGGUGGCUGAGUAAGUCGGGUGUGAAAGCCCCGGGCUCAACCUGGGAAUUGCAUUCGAGACUGAAUAGCUAGGGUACGGUAGAGGGAAGCGGAAUUUCCGGUGUAGCGGUGAAAUGCGUAGAUAUCGGAAGGAACAUCAGUGGCGAAAGCGGCUUCCUGGACCAGUACCGACGUUCAGGCACGAAAGCGUGGGGAGCAAACAGG
This 253-nucleotide ribosomal RNA is filed under the name uncultured bacterium. RNAcentral describes it as "partial 16S ribosomal RNA". It matches the Rfam family "Bacterial small subunit ribosomal RNA", at positions 524 to 776 of the family's 1533-position model. The record is from RNAcentral.